CUCAAAUAAAUUCAACCAAUCAUGUUUUUUUUUUUUAAACACGUCAGCUGGGCGUAAAUUUGGGCAAGGUAAUUUAUAUGUAAUUAAAUUUGGACUUACCCAUCACGUUUGGGCUUGCUUUUUUUGCCCAAAUCGACAAAUGAAAACUGAAGUUGACGCCACAUGAACUCAUCAUCUUCCUCUCCACCUCUUUGUUUUCUCCGAUAUGAAACCUGAAGAAUUGAAAACAUUUGGAUUUAAAAGAAAAGAUUUGACAGUCUAAUCUCAAUCGCAUAAAGUAAAUCAAACCAAACUUCACACAUCUUUCUCUCCGUUCGCCGUCACACAUCUUUCUCUCCGUUCGCCGUCGUCGCUCAUCUGAGAUCUCUCUCUUUACUCACCAAAGAUGCAUUCGAGCCAUCUCCUUCUCGAGGAGCCAAUCAGGAUGGCUUCAAUCCUCAAGCCAUCCAAAUCCGUAAGCGAUCCUUUGAUCCAUAUUCGUAAGAGUUAUCUCUAAUCUCUCUCUCUCUCUCUCUCUCUUUCUCUCUCUCUUUUGAUGUCAUCAGAGUUUCUUUCCGGAAGCUUUGGCAACAAAAUCCAACUGAAAGUCCCAUGUCUCCACGGUAAGUCUCUGUAGUUUGUAUUUCAAGGACAUCUCACCAGGUCCACCCGAAUCUGAAUUAGUAUUUCGAAUCUAAAGUUAUGGCGAUGAUCAAUUUCUUUUUUCCUUCAAUGGUGUUGAUAACCUAUUUGAAAAGCCGUCGCUUUGUAGUUUUCAUGUCGAUUCGCUUGAUCCAGUCUUCUCACAAUUUUUUAGUUUUUCUCGAUAAGGUUAAAGUGCCGUAGCGAUUGCUGUAAGGUGUGAAGAUAAAUGUCUGUCGAAUAUGAUCUCUGAAUGAAAACAUGAAGAAGUGUCAGUAUGCCGUAAGUGGUGAGUUUUCCCUAGAAGGAACAUUAUCUUCCCUACCCUCGCAUCUCUAAAAAGCCAUCAGGAUGAAUCACUACUCUGCAUAUACUGAGGAGUCUGGACAAUUAUAUGGGACUGCUUUGGCGUAGGACCUGCUCUAGCUGAAGGGUAGGGAGAUUGAAUAUGACUUCCUGGAACUGAAUAGCCCUGUACCGUUGUAUAACUGUGACCAACAGGGAUGUUUUGAUUCAGUUGCCCGUAUUGGUAGCCUGGUGAGUUAACUGCCCCAGGUACUCCAUAAACCUGAAGGUGCUUACAGUGACUCAAGAGGCCUUCUGGAAGCUAGGAAAGAGGUUGCUGAGUUCAUUGAAUGACUUGAUGGGUAUCCCAGUGAUCCAAAACUCAUAUUCUCCACUGAUGGAGCUAGCUAAGGUGUGAAACAAAUCUUAAACUGUGCUAUACGCAGUGAGGGAGACAUGCAAUAUGAAGAAGAGCAGGAGAGUGCAAGUGCCACCAAGAAGCUUCACCAGAAAAGGCAAUUCAUCACAAUUUAAGUAGAAAAAAUAUGAAGUAUGAUCAGAAGAAAUAAGAUUUUGUCUAUAUCUCUUCUCCUCUAUGCAGAUCAACCAAAACGAUGGACGUAGCCCACGACUCUGAGCUUCCCCAAACAAGUAUGAGAAGACAAGUAGUAAAAGUGCUUUAUGUUUUAGUUAUUUCCUUAGUAUCUCAGUUGCACAUAGCAUGUUGUUUGUCAAUAGAGUUUGUGUCAGUGACGUUGUUGCAUCUUUUGAAACUUUAAAGCUUAAUAAAAGUGAAAGAUCGUUGAUAUGUUAUCGAUGAAGUCGAAUGAAUGUUGCUACCAUUUAUCUUUUUCUUUAAAAUCAAAUCAAAUGGGUUGAUUGUC
Brassica napus (rape) is the source of this 1790-nucleotide long non-coding RNA. RefSeq lists it as uncharacterized. The record is from RefSeq and is a predicted model, not a curated record. Lineage: Eukaryota; Viridiplantae; Streptophyta; Magnoliopsida; Brassicales; Brassicaceae. The transcript has 6 exons.